This is a long non-coding RNA of Phyllostomus discolor (pale spear-nosed bat), 2211 nucleotides long. RefSeq lists it as uncharacterized. NCBI's taxonomy places the organism in Eukaryota, Metazoa, Chordata, Mammalia, Chiroptera, Phyllostomidae. The transcript has 2 exons. The record is from RefSeq and is a predicted model, not a curated record.
UUUUUGUCUAAAAGUAAGAAAAAGAACUGUUUCCAGAUUCCUGAAUAUAGAUCUUAUAGUUGCAUCCUGUAAAAGUUAUAUAUAACCCGAGAUUGCCUAUUUUAAAGCUAAUUUCCAUCAUUACUUCUAUUUUAAAACUGGAAAUGCAUUCCAGGGGGAACGACAAUAACAGACAGGAAGAUAGUUCUUCUGUUGUCAUGUGGCUCAUUUUUAACAAGGAAAAGACUGGAAGUCCCUCCCUUUACUGGUCCAAAGAAUAAAGUCUGGCUUUGCUGGGUCUGACAUUUUCAAACUUACUAAACAUGGCCAAUUUGUGUCAUGACACGGAAAUAAACUGGCAACAGGAAAUCCUUCCCCUUUCAAAAAACAGAGGCUCUAGAGUCAGAUCAGCUACCUUUAAAUUUUGGCUGUAUCCGUUGCUGCCUAGGAGACCACAAACAAGUGUCUUAACUCUCUGUACUUUGCUUUAUUCAUUUUUAAAAUGGCAAUAUUAACAUAGUCUUUUUGACUGUUUGUUGACAUCAAAUGAGUUAGUACAUAUAAAGUCUUAGAUAGCAUCUGGCACUCAAAGAAAAUACAUGAUAGGGUGGGUCAGUCACUUAAAUUUACCAAAUCAAAAAAUUAGUUGUUAGGAAAUAAAGGAAUAUAAGAUCUUUAUUUUAAUUAAAGUUCAUAAAUAAAGUACCCAUAAAUGGGUAAAUGGACUAUAAAGACUACACCUUCUGUAUGCUGGAUACUCUAGCACUGUGCAUACAUACAAGUAUAUUCACUGUACUAUACUACCUGUUUGGUAGUAUAGAAAUAUAGAAAUUGAGAGAAAGCAUUUCCAUUUUAGUCAAGAACUUAGCCAUUUAGUUUCCCCACUAGCUAAUACCUGCCUAUUAUGGGCUAGGAAAACCGAGCAAAAAUGUGUACUAUUUACUUAAUUUUAAAGACUUUUGAGUGCAGUCAGUAGGUAAGUCAGUAUUCACAAUACAGUGUAAGUGCCCAGUGACCUUCCAGCAUAGCAGGACAAUGUACUAGGCCUGUGGGGUCAGAGGGCUAUUAGUGAAGUGGUGCCUGAGCUGACCCUCAAGGAAUUAGUAGGAGUUGUCCUGAAGAUGGUGAGAGUCUGCAUUCCAAGUAGAAGGAAGCAAAAAUGUAGAAAUAGAAAUUAUGAUGCUGUGGCAUGCUAACGGCAAGUUGGUACUCAUUUGGUGAAUAUUUAUUGAGUAUGAGCUCAGUGCUUACCAAUAUACUAGCACUGUUAUACAGUAGUAAACAUAAUAAACAUAGUUCCUGCUUCAGGAGCUUAGAGUUUAGUGAGAGGCAGGGGAGCAAGAAGGGGUAGCCUAACAAAGCUCUCAGAUUGUGUAAGUUCUCUGUGCCAAUCAUUUAUCUAGACACAGAGCGCCUAGCAGUGAACAAGGCAGACUUGAUCCCUGUUAUCAUGGCAUUUGCCUUCUGGUGGGUGAAGUGAUGAAUGAAAAGCAGGCAGAUAAGAUUUUCACUUAUUUGCCAUAAAGAAGUAAAACAACUCAGUGCAAUAAGAUAGUGAUUGGUGGGUUGAUGCUUUUAGUUAGAUGGUGGGGUAGGCAUCUCUGAGGAGCCAACAUUUAAACUGAGGCUGAGUGAGGAGAAAGAUUAUGUUCCAGUUAGAUGGAACAGCAAGUACAUAGACCUUGUGCAGGAGUAAAUUGGGCAUGAUUGGAGUACAGGAAGAAGGCCACCGUGACUGGAGCACAGUGAGCAGCUGGGAGUGGGUGAGAUGAAGUAGGCAGGGGCCAGAUCCGGUUCUCCACACAGGAAAGCCUAAGAAAUUAAAAGUAAAUGAACCCACCAGCUGUUUCUUUCAAAAGACCAAUAAGAUGCAUUAAAUCCUUGCAUGCCUGAUCAAAAUAAAAAGAGUGGAAAUAUAUAACAUUAGUAAUGAGAAUAGACCUAUAACCAUAUAUACAAAAGAAAUUAAAGUAAUCAUAAAGGCAUAGUAUAUGGAAUUUUGUGGCUGCAACUUUGAAAAUGUAGGGGGAAAUGAAUCAUUUCUUAUCAAAAGACAAAUCUCUGAAAGAAUUGAAAAACUGAAGAGAUUAGACACGUGAUUUUAAAAAAUAAUACUCCUUUUAAAAAAGAAACACUUGGUUAUAUGUAAACAAGGGGAAGUGUGCAGCUAUAAAACAUGAUAAAGUUCUUGAUGCACAACUGUGGAAUAAUGUUCAAAUUAUAUUGUUAAAU